This 449-nucleotide ribosomal RNA is filed under the name uncultured bacterium. RNAcentral describes it as "bacterial SSU rRNA". It matches the Rfam family "Bacterial small subunit ribosomal RNA", at positions 329 to 792 of the family's 1533-position model. The record is from RNAcentral.
AGCCAGACUCCUACGGGAGGCAGCAGUGGGGAAUAUUGCGCAAUGGGGGCAACCCUGACGCAGCAACGCCGCGUGCAGGAAGAAGGUCUUCGGAUUGUAAACUGUUGUCGCAGGGGAAGAAGACAGUGACGGUACCCUGUGAGAAAGUCACGGCUAACUACGUGCCAGCAGCCGCGGUAAUACGUAGGUGACAAGCGUUGUCCGGAUUUACUGGGUGUAAAGGGCGCGUAGGCGGACUGUCAAGUCAGUCGUGAAAUACCGGGGCUUAACCCCGGGGCUGCGAUUGAAACUGACAGCCCUGAGUAUCGGAGAGGAAAGCGGAAUUCCUAGUGUAGCGGUGAAAUGCGUAGAUAUUACGCAGAACUCCGAUUGCGAAGGCAGCAUACCGGCGCCCAACUGACGCUGAAGCACGAAAGCGUGGGUAUCGAACAGGAUUAGAUACCCCAGUA